RNAcentral lists this ribosomal RNA (252 nucleotides) under uncultured bacterium. RNAcentral describes it as "partial 16S ribosomal RNA". It matches the Rfam family "Bacterial small subunit ribosomal RNA", at positions 524 to 776 of the family's 1533-position model. The record is from RNAcentral.
UACGGAGGAUGCGAGCGUUAUCCGGAUUUAUUGGGUUUAAAGGGUGCGUAGGCGGACGCUUAAGUCAGCGGUAAAAUUGCGGGGCUCAACCUCGUCGAGCCGUUGAAACUGGGGGUCUUGAGUGGGCGAGAAGAAGGCGGAAUGCGUGGUGUAGCGGUGAAAUGCAUAGAUAUCACGCAGAACCCCGAUUGCGAAGGCAGCCUUCCGGCGCCCUACUGACGCUGAGGCACGAAAGUGCGGGGAUCGAACAGG